RNAcentral lists this long non-coding RNA (1847 nucleotides) under Homo sapiens (human). Its description in RNAcentral is "HSALNT0181296". Lineage: Eukaryota; Metazoa; Chordata; Mammalia; Primates; Hominidae. The record is from RNAcentral.
AUAUUUCAUAAAAAUAUGAAAAUUUGGGAUACGGACGCAUGCCUGUAAUCCCAGCUAUGGGAAGCUGAGACAUGAGAAUCACUUGAACCUGGGAGGCAGAGGUUGCAGUGAGCUGAGAUCACACCACUGCACUCCAGCCUGGCCGAUAAAGUGAGGCUCUGUUUCAAAACAAACAAACAAACAAACAAACAAUGCACAGGCAGGCUUUAUUCUUUCUCUCUGCGUGUCUGCAGGAUGCCAGUCUAUGAGGACCAAAAGCUCAUUCCCUGGGAAAGGGAGUCAGCUCUAAAUGGGUUUUCUUCACCUCUGAUUAUUCUCUCCUGUAACGGAACCCUUGGAGAGCCUCUAUUUUCAAGUUAUUUAGAAAAUGAGACCUCUUACUUAAAAAAAGUCAUGUGGUAUUAAAUGUCUUCUUGUCCUCAGAAUAUUAGGUUAGUGCAAAAGAAAUUGCAGUUUUUGUCAUUACUUUUAAUGGCAAAAACUGCAAUUAGUUUUGCACCAACCUAAUACUUCUUAGUCAUACUUCCCCUCAGUUCUCCAAGCCAAGAAGCUCUUAUUUGAACCUAUCCUUAAAAAAGUGUUUACAAUAGCAGCCCGUGACCUGUUGCAGCAUCUCAGCCCCUUCCUAUUGUUUCCUCUCAACUCUGAACCUCAGUCCCACCUUGCGGCGCACUGGAACCACCGUCCUCACGUCAUGUAUGAAGACAGUGAGCAGCUCUGGACUGUCUGUUACCUGCCACCUCUGCUGUGGCUUCAGGAUGGUGAUGGAGUUCCAUCCCGGCCACAUCCUCUUUAGGAUGGAAAAUCCCAGCUCCUCUGCUUGUUGAACCAGAAGACUCUGAUUACCUGGAACAAGCCGUGUCUCCAAGGGUGGUGUCGGGGCUCCUGGCAAGUGGAGAUGAGGCCUUCUGAAAGAUGGCGCUGGUAUUUUCCAUGCUGCCUGGAAGGUCUGCAUGGAGACAGAGCUUCAGGUGCAGCAGACUCUCUUCCAAAUUGGAGAUGACUGCUCUCGGCAGGCACUCUGGAACAAUAAACAUAAUAACGUAAUUUGACAUUCCCCACUCUUUGGGGAAGAGAAUACACCUAUCAUAGCCAUUUUCAAGAGCCAAGAAGGAGGGCAGCCAUAGCAGGGGAAGGCGGGGCCUGAACUUCAAAGGAGACAGGGCUGGUGGUUAUGAACACAAACAGCCUUUCCGUUUUCAAAGCUCCACGGAAUUCUGUGAAAACAGCAACUUUUGCACCCUCUAAUUUUCUUCUUUGUGCUCUGAUUAGCAUCGAGCCGUUCUCCCUUUGCAAUUCAGUAGCCUCUUGAAGGGUGUUUGUUUGCAUGAUAGGACUGAUGGGCAGGUCCUGGCUAGUGGCCUGUCACUUGCUUGCCACCCAGGGCGCCACCACAGAGUGCCCCAGUGAGCUCCCUCCAGCCAUGCGCAGUACAUCAAUCUGAAUGAGGGGCUCAGGCCAUUGAUUUUCUUCCACCGCCCACCCCCGUCACCAAAUGCCAAUUAUUUAUCUCCGUUUCAGAAACGAAGUUCUUAAUUUAAGCCAACAGCUGCCUUACCUGUGAAGAACACUUUCUUUGGGUGUGUUGAAUAACAUCUCCCUGGAGGAGGAGGAUUUCCUUUCCUACAUGCUUCAGAGAAUGGCCAGCUUGAUUCCUUAAAGGACAUGAGCUUCAUCCUUUCCCAGACCCUUCAAACUUAACCCAAAUGACGUCAUAGUUGACACCCUCAAUCUCAAGAUAGAGUCUGGUAAUCUCUUAUAUUUGCGUAGUACUUUAUAAUUCCCAAAGUGCCUUCACCUCCAAAACUUCAUUUAACCUUUACAACAAUGGAGGAGGUAGGUUGGGC